GAUCAUGGCUCAGGACGAACGCUGGCGGCGUGCCUAACACAUGCAAGUCGAGCGGGAGACAGUGAGUAGCUUGCUAUGAGCUGUUUUAGCGGCGGACGGGUGAGCAACGCGUGAGCAACCUUUCCCAGACAGGGGAAUAACACACCGAAAGGUGUACUAAUACCGCAUAAGACCACGGGAUCACAUGGUUCUGGGGUAAAAGAUUUAUCGGUUUGGGGUGGGCUCGCGUCCGAUUAGGUAGUUGGUGAGGG
Molecule: ribosomal RNA, 251 nt
Filed under: uncultured bacterium
Lineage: Bacteria
Description: partial 16S ribosomal RNA
Rfam family: Bacterial small subunit ribosomal RNA
Source: RNAcentral